RNAcentral lists this non-coding RNA (29 nucleotides) under Cricetulus griseus (Chinese hamster). The record is from RNAcentral. Lineage: Eukaryota; Metazoa; Chordata; Mammalia; Rodentia; Cricetidae.
GUGCCUACUAACGGAAGAGCUACUGUUUU